CCCCACAAAGCAGCCCACUUUGAAUCCCACCUCACUAAGCUACAGGCAGACUCCAACUAUCUUCUGUCAGAAGAGUUUGAGGAUCUGAAGGAUGUGGGUCGUAACCAGCCUCUGGAUGCAGCCCGUCUACCAGAGAACAGGGGCAAGAACCGUUACAACAACAUCCUGCCCUAUGAUUCCACCAGAGUGAAGCUCUCCUACCUGGAGGAUGACCCCUGUUCUGACUUCAUCAAUGCCAGUUAUAUACCAG
This is a long non-coding RNA of Oncorhynchus nerka (sockeye salmon), 250 nucleotides long. RefSeq lists it as uncharacterized. The transcript has 3 exons. Lineage: Eukaryota; Metazoa; Chordata; Actinopteri; Salmoniformes; Salmonidae. The record is from RefSeq and is a predicted model, not a curated record.